CUAAGCGGAGGAAAAGAAACUAACAAGGAUUCCCCUAGUAACGGCGAGUGAAGAGGGAAAAGCCCAGCACCGAAUCCCACAGCCUUGCGCUGUCGGGAACUGUGGUGUAUAGGAAGCCUACUUGUCGGCGUGUUCGGGUACCCAAGUCCUCCUGAUCGUGGCCUCUCCCAUAGCGGGUGUCAGGCCCAUACAGGCACCCGACGGCGUCGGCUUGGAGCUUCCUCGGAGUCGGGUUGUUUGGGAAUG
This 246-nucleotide ribosomal RNA is filed under the name Unio pictorum (painter's mussel). Its description in RNAcentral is "partial 28S ribosomal RNA". It matches the Rfam family "Eukaryotic large subunit ribosomal RNA", at positions 46 to 282 of the family's 3401-position model. The record is from RNAcentral. Lineage: Eukaryota; Metazoa; Mollusca; Bivalvia; Unionida; Unionidae. RNAcentral also lists the same sequence under 1 other name.